CACGUAGGUGGCAUGAUAAGUCAAAGGUGAAAGCCCUCGGCUCAACCGAGGAAUUGCCUUUGAAACUGCCUUGCUUGAGUCCGGGAGGGGGGAGCGGAAUUCCCAGUGUAGCGGUGAAAUGCGUAGAUACUGGGAGGAACACCGGUGGCGAAGGCGGCUCCCUGGACCGGUACUGACACUGAGGUGCGAAAGCGUGGGUAGCAAACAGGAUUAGAUACCCUGGUAGUCC
RNAcentral lists this ribosomal RNA (229 nucleotides) under uncultured bacterium. RNAcentral describes it as "partial 16S ribosomal RNA". It matches the Rfam family "Bacterial small subunit ribosomal RNA", at positions 568 to 796 of the family's 1533-position model. The record is from RNAcentral.